GAUGAACGCUGGCGGCGUGCCUAAUACAUGCAAGUCGAGCGAACAGACGAGGAGCUUGCUCCUCUGACGUUAGCGGCGGACGGGUGAGUAACACGUGGAUAACCUACCUAUAAGACUGGGAUAACUUCGGGAAACCGGAGCUAAUACCGGAUAAUAUAUUGAACCGCAUGGUUCAAUAGUGAAAGACGGUUUUGCUGUCACUUAUAGAUGGAUCCGCGCCGCAUUAGCUAGUUGGUAAGGUAACGGCUUACCAAGGCAACGAUGCGUAGCCGACCUGAGAGGGUGAACGGCCACACUGGAACUGAGACACGGUCCAGACUCAUAAGGGAGGCAGCAGUAGGGAAUCUUCCGCAAAGGGCGAAAGCCUGAAGGAGCAACGCCGCGUGAGUGAUGAAGGUCUUCGGAUCGUAAAACUCUGUUAUUAGGGAAGAACAAAUGUGUAAGUAACUAUGCACGUCUUGACGGUACCUAAUCAGAAAGCCACGGCUAACUACGUG
RNAcentral lists this ribosomal RNA (497 nucleotides) under uncultured bacterium. RNAcentral's name for it is "partial 16S ribosomal RNA". It matches the Rfam family "Bacterial small subunit ribosomal RNA", at positions 28 to 507 of the family's 1533-position model. The record is from RNAcentral.